GAUGAACGCUCGCGGCUGGCCUAAUACAUGCAAGUCGAACGGGUGGUCGCAAGACCACUAGUGGCGCACGGGUGCGUAACGCGUAACCAACCUGCCCCGAUCUGGGGGAUAGCCCGCCGAAAGGCGGAUUAAUACCGCAUAUACCCGCAGCCUGGCAUCAGGCAACGGGGAAAGAUUUAUUGGAUCGGGAUGGGGUUGCGUGACAUUAGCUAGUUGGCGGGGUAAGGGCCCACCAAGGCGACGAUGUCUAGGGGACCUGAGAGGGUGAUCCCCCACACUGGCACUGAGAUACGGGCCAGACUCCUACGGGAGGCAGCAGUAGGGAAUAUUGGGCAAUGGGCGAGAGCCUGACCCAGCCAUGCCGCGUGCCGGAUGAAGGCCUUCUGGGUUGUAAACGGCUUUUCUCAGGGAAGAAAAAGACCUUGCGAGGUACACUGACGGUACCUGAGGAAUAAGCACCGGCUAACUCCGUG
Molecule: ribosomal RNA, 473 nt
Filed under: uncultured bacterium
Lineage: Bacteria
Description: partial 16S ribosomal RNA
Rfam family: Bacterial small subunit ribosomal RNA
Source: RNAcentral